Molecule: long non-coding RNA, 1652 nt
Organism: Rattus norvegicus (Norway rat)
Lineage: Eukaryota; Metazoa; Chordata; Mammalia; Rodentia; Muridae
Source: Ensembl
CAGAGAUCAACACAGGUUUUCUAAACGUGUGCUCAUCACCAGGCUGCCUGCUCUGAAAAGAAGCAGGAAAUUCUGCCCAAGUGGAAGGUUUCUGGGGCUCUCCACAAUUGGAAGGCAAGGUCUUGCUGUUAGGUCUGGCCGCCCUGGAACUCACCAUGUAGACCAGCCUGUCCUCUAAGUGCCAAGAUAAAAGCUCCCAGCACGACUGACUCCGGAUCUGUGGGCUCAGAGCAGUAAUGUUGCAGAUGGAAAAAGAACUGAAGAGAGACGCACACACAUGCACCCCAGGACACAGGUUUGGUUCCCAGAACCUGGGGACCAGAUGGUGGCUACCCAUAAUUCCAGUUCCAAGGGAUCCAGCACCCUCUUCUGACUUCUGAGGUGCUGAGCACUGAACGCAUGGCCUCACACAUGGUGAGGGGGUCAGCUCUCCCAUCUUCCACCGAGCUUCGGUUUUUCAGCCAUCUCUCCAGCUCAUGUGAUGCUCGUUGGAAAAGCACACACAUCAAACAUUUGAAAAUAGACACCACUCAUCUUUGGCAACAACAAGGUUCAGAAGAUCCUCCGGAGGAUCUUCUGUCCUCAAGGAAUUGUUAGAGACUUCUACUUACAGAAAAAGCAAGGACAGCUGGUUAAGAUAAAAACAUACUCCUGCAGAGCAGGCGGGCUGAAGGAAAUAGAGAACAUAGAGGGGAAAGUACCCUACUGUAAGGCCCUGGACUCUUGCCUUGUGCCCACCUUAAUGGAGCUCAUCUUAAUAGGGCUCUGGGUGUAACUUGGGUCCUCACACUUAGUACUUUGCCAACUGAGACAUUCCCCCAACUCUGUGUUGUCUUUUCUAUACGUCCUCAAGCUGCUAUAGACAAAAGAGAAUUGAGACAUUUGUCUCUCCCUAAAUCUGGGCAUAACUAUUAAGACACUGUUUCCCUUUCCAGUGUCAGUCUACGUCUGUGGUAGUGGUGAGCAGUGGACUGAGUACCCAUUUACCAUAAUAUAGAGUAGAUUCAUUGACAAGUGCCACUGUGUACAUCAAUUUGUUUGUCCAUCACUACCACUCUACAGCUCAGCUGGACCCUGCCCAACUCAGCUGCCCAUAUAUUCUGCUCUGUGAAACACUUUAAUUCCAUUGCAGAGGCUAAGAACAGAAUAACAAUCAUGGAUGUGUACAAUGUAUCCAAGGCUUAGGGGUGUUGAGUCAUGCCCUCAACACCUGCUUUUCGACCGACCUACCCCUUACAGCCCCCAACAAUUCAGGUUUCAUUACUAUGCCAUAAAAGAAACAGGAGACACCAGAUCUCAUGAAAUGUGUAAAUAACUUUAAACUUUAUUGAGUAAAAAUUGCAAAAACACAACCAUAAUAUAAUUAAUAGAAAAGUUAAAUACAAACUACCACAUGUAAAAUAGGUUAUUGUAAAACUGGUGGUAUCAACCCUAAAUACUACACCCCGAACUUAUACAUUGGGAAUGUUAAUCUAAUGAAGAACAUCUCAAGUUCAUCUUAAUAUAGACCAAAAUUUUUUAAGAAAAAAAUUUUAAAUUAAAUAGAACUUUUCAAAUGAACAGUUCAAUCCAACCCUAGAUGGGGCCUGAGAUAAAAAAUGGCCAUUUGCCAUUGUAUUUUCUUCACAUCAACUUCCAAAUCUAAUGCAGAU